UUUCCUGCAGCUAUCACUGGUUCCUGAGGCUGCUCAGGGCAGACAGCAGAGAGAAUGAAGACUGUGCUGCCAAGUGUUCUCCUGGGGAUGUUCGCUAUGUUAAAGGCACAAGCAAAGAUCUCUAAAGAGCUAUUUGACAUAGGAAAGAUCACAUGGAUGUGUUAAGGAAGAUAUUUUGGGUAGCCACGUGGACAUGCCAGGGAAAUUUGCAUUUUCUAGGUCUAGGGAAGCAUACGUGGUAGAGACAGACUAUAAGACUUAUGCCAUAGUGAAUGUUUCCAUGUUAAAGAACGGGAUGACACUUAGUGCCUUGAAGUUUUUCAGUACGUGCUGGGACCACAGAGCUGGAGUCAGAGGGGAUUGUGACCACAUUGGAAACACAGCAGAUAUGGGAGAUCUGAGAAAAACUGAUGGAAAAGCAGAAUGAUCAGUCUGUCCUCAAUGAGGCUAAGCCUCCACUUGGUCGAACCCUGGAGAACACUGAUAAAGGUUUGAAGAGAUUAAGAGAAAUUAGUGAACAAAUUGGGAUCUCCAGGGAUAAUGUAUUCAUGUUGAUCUAUGAUGAUACAUGUGUGAAGAUGUUGAAGAAGGAUAAUUUGUAGAAGAGCAUAUUUUGGUUACCAGUGGAGAAAGUUACCUGCCCUGCCUCCAAGGAUUCACAGACUUGAUGGUCCUUUUUCUCCUUCUCCAUCCUUCCAUCCUUCUAUCCUCUCUUUCCAUAUCCCCAACCUCUCUCAUAGGGUUAGUCUCAGUAUUGAAUAAAUUUAUAUU
This is an RNA transcript of Phascolarctos cinereus (koala), 771 nucleotides long. It is a transcript of the gene named lipocalin 8, with no coding region annotated. Lineage: Eukaryota; Metazoa; Chordata; Mammalia; Diprotodontia; Phascolarctidae. The record is from RefSeq and is a predicted model, not a curated record.